RNAcentral lists this ribosomal RNA (699 nucleotides) under Enterobacter sp. RNAcentral describes it as "partial 16S rRNA". Lineage: Bacteria; Pseudomonadati; Pseudomonadota; Gammaproteobacteria; Enterobacterales; Enterobacteriaceae. The record is from RNAcentral.
UGUCCAGGGGGCCGCCUUCGCCACCGGUAUUCCUCCAGAUCUCUACGCAUUUCACCGCUACACCUGGAAUUCUACCCCCCUCUACAAGACUCUAGCCUGCCAGUUUCGAAUGCAGUUCCCAGGUUGAGCCCGGGGAUUUCACAUCCGACUUGACAGACCGCCUGCGUGCGCUUUACGCCCAGUAAUUCCGAUUAACGCUUGCACCCUCCGUAUUACCGCGGCUGCUGGCACGGAGUUAGCCGGUGCUUCUUCUGCGGGUAACGUCAAUCGCUGAGGUUAUUAACCUCAACGCCUUCCUCCCCGCUGAAAGUACUUUACAACCCGAAGGCCUUCUUCAUACACGCGGCAUGGCUGCAUCAGGCUUGCGCCCAUUGUGCAAUAUUCCCCACUGCUGCCUCCCGUAGGAGUCUGGACCGUGUCUCAGUUCCAGUGUGGCUGGUCAUCCUCUCAGACCAGCUAGGGAUCGUCGCCUAGGUGAGCCGUUACCCCACCUACUAGCUAAUCCCAUCUGGGCACAUCUGAUGGCAAGAGGCCCGAAGGUCCCCCUCUUUGGUCUUGCGACGUUAUGCGGUAUUAGCUACCGUUUCCAGUAGUUAUCCCCCUCCAUCAGGCAGUUUCCCAGACAUUACUCACCCGUCCGCCGCUCGCCAGCAAAGUAGCAAGCUACUUUCCGCUGCCGCUCGACUUGCAUGUGUUAGG